This 1048-nucleotide long non-coding RNA is filed under the name Olea europaea subsp. europaea. Lineage: Eukaryota; Viridiplantae; Streptophyta; Magnoliopsida; Lamiales; Oleaceae. The record is from RNAcentral.
AUUUAUCCAGCCAUUACCAAUUCUAAUUUCCUAAAUCGACAGCAAACCCUAUAGGCUACUAUGCUUCGUCCUCGCUGGCUGCUCUGUGCUCUCUCCACUACGCUGUGACCUGCUGUCGGCUGCCGCCGAGUCGAUGUGCUUCUCCCCCUGUUCGAGAGUCGCUAAUCAUGGGGGAUAUGGAUGCUUUUCUCCACUGUAUUGAUGAUAGUUGUGUGCAGUGCAACAAUACUGUGGCUAGAGCUUGCUAUUCUUUGUUGUCUAAGGUGCACAGCUUAAAUAGAAGGAAAAAUAUAUUGCAGCUUCUAUGAAUAUCUACUCCGGAUCCAAGGAAACAAAACAACCAUGGUAAGGCAUUAUAGGUGAGCAGCUAUUUUUGUUACUAUCCUCAUAAAUAAAAAAAACCACAUGCCAUAGAUUCAUACAUGACCGAGGAAGGUCUAGUAUUUCUUUAAUCUUUAUGCUAUUAUUGUUAUAUUUUUAUCCAUUUUAGUAUAGCUUGGUGUUUGUUGGUUAUUUGACUUCUAUUUUUCUAUAGUUGUAAUUCAAAUGUUCUCAUAUUAUUCCUUUCUUGUAAUUUUCUAAUUAACGACUGUAUCUAACAGAGAAAUGUAGAAGACUUCAAUGAAAGGUCUUCAAAGCUUGGUUUGGAGAACUAUCCCCUCUAAUUUUGCAUAUCUUUGUGCGAAGAUUGGGAAUUCUUUAAUAGAUAAGGUGAUAUAUAGUGCUAAUGGGUAAAAUUACUGCUGAAAACAAAAUUCAUAGAAGAAUGAUUUUUUUAUCAUUUGUUAUAUGUGUAGAUGGAUGAAAUUGCUUGUUUUGUUCCAGGUAUGUUAGCAUUAGGAUCUACUGGCUAUGGUCCUGAUGAGGCUAGGAAGUUCUUAUUGUUGCCAAAAGAGAUAUUAUACAAAUAUUUUAAGAUUCAUAUUUAAAGUGCCUUACAGAGUGGGUAAUUAUUUACUUUGAGGGAAUGACUUUGACCUCCUCAUGAAGCUUGCUUGGACAUGUUAUAAUUUAUACCAAUCAAUGCUUGUGAAAUUGGAUGGAGAGA